GAUUCUGGCUCAGGAUGAACGCUGGCGGCAGGCUUAAUACAUGCAAGUCGAACGGUAAGGUCCGAAGUGGCAACACGGAGGAUACACGAGUGGCGCACGGGUGCGCAACGCGUAUGCAACCUGCCCCCGACCGGGACAAAACAGCUGGAAACGGCUGCUAAUAUCCCAUGGUCAUGCGGAAGGGCAUCCUUCUUCAUGUAAAGAUUCAUUGGUCGGGGAUGGGCAUGCGUAUUAUUAGGUAGUUGGCGGGUAACGGCCCACCAAGCCGACGAUGAUUAGGGGUCCUGAGAGGGUUAACCCCCACACUGGAACUGAGACACGGUCCAGACUCCUACGGGAGGCAGCAGUAGGGAAUAUUGGGCAAUGGGAGCAAUCCUGACCCAGCCAUGCCGCGUGAAGGAAGACGGCCCUAUGGGUUGUAAACUUCUUUUGCCGCAGAGUAAACCCGGUCACGAGUGGUCGGUUGAGAGUAUGCGGCGAAUAAGUAUCGGCUAACUCCGUGCCAGCCGCAGC
RNAcentral lists this ribosomal RNA (513 nucleotides) under uncultured bacterium. RNAcentral describes it as "bacterial SSU rRNA". It matches the Rfam family "Bacterial small subunit ribosomal RNA", at positions 15 to 518 of the family's 1533-position model. The record is from RNAcentral.